RNAcentral lists this ribosomal RNA (930 nucleotides) under uncultured bacterium. RNAcentral's name for it is "bacterial SSU rRNA". It matches the Rfam family "Bacterial small subunit ribosomal RNA", at positions 66 to 994 of the family's 1533-position model. The record is from RNAcentral.
GCAGCAUAGGUGCUUGCACCUGAUGGCGAGUGGCGAACGGGUGAGUAAUACAUCGGAACAUGCCAAGAAGUUGGGGAUAACUCAUCGAAAGAUGAGCUAAUACCGGAUAAGCUCUGAGGAGGAAAGCUGGGGACCUGUGAGGGCCUGGCGCUUUUUGAUUGGCCGAUGGUCGAUUAGCUAGUUGGUGAAGUAAAGGUUUACCAAGGCGAAGAUCGAUAGCUGUUCUGAGAGGAAGAUCAGCCACACUGGGACUGAGACACGGCCCAGACUCCUACGGGAGGCAGCAGUGGGGAAUUUUGGACAAUGGGGGGAACCCUGAUCCAGCAACGCCGCGUGAAUGAAGAAGGCCCUAGGGUUGUAAAGUUCUUUUAUCUGGGAGCAAAAUUUUUGCCUGAAUAAGGUAAGAAGCUGAGAGUACCAGAGGAAUAAGCACCGGCUAACUACGUGCCAGCAGCCGCGGUAAUACGUAGGGUGCGAGCGUUAAUCGGAAUUACUGGGCGUAAAGGGUGCGUAGGCGGAUAUAUAAGUUAGAUGUGAAAAGCCCGGGCUCAACCUUGGUCGUGCAUUUAAGACUGUAUAUCUAGAGUUAGUUAGAGGGGGGUAGAAUUCCAAGUGUAGCAGUGAAAUGCGUAGAGAUUUGGAGGAAUACCGAUGGCGAAGGCAGCCCCCUGGGAUGUAACUGACGCUGAGGCACGAAAGCGUGGGUAGCAAACAGGAUUAGAUACCCUGGUAGUCCACGCCCUAAACGAUGUUUACUUGCUGUUGGGGGUAACCUUAGUAGCGAAGCUAACGCGAGAAGUAAACCGCCUGGGGAGUACGGUCGCAAGAUUAAAACUCAAAGGAAUUGAUGGGGACCCGCACAAGCGGUGGNUGAUGUGGAUUAAUUCGAUGCAACGCGAAGAACCNUUACCUGCUCUUGACAUGUCAGGA